CUUGACGAAUGUCACACACAAUGAUCAAGUACCGAAAAAGAAAUAGGACCAAACAACUAAUGUGAUAUGUAUAUAAGGCUUAGAUACUGGAGGAAACGUUACUCUGUACAUCGUCGCAGCUUGAAUCAUCAACAAUGAACACCCUCGCUGUUGCACUCUGUUUGGUUCUGGUGGCGAUGGCCUCAGCCACAUAUCCACGAGGAGAAGGAUACGGCCGUGGGGGAAAUGACAUCUGGAACAAUCAAUACCCAAAGCAGGUGGCUAAUAUCAAUCAACAACAGUCCAACAGGCAAUAUGUUGACCAAGAUCAGUUUAACCGCAGAGGAUUCCCCUAUGGCGGCGGCUAUGGCGGCUAUGGCGGCUAUGGCUAUGGCGGCGCUGGCUAUGGCGGCAAGGGUUUCAGAUAUUGAGAUGAUUCACUGUUUGAUGGAAUAUACACACUGAGUAUGUGAAGUGUAUGACGUAAUUUAAUAAACCAUUGCUUCACAUGA
This is a long non-coding RNA of Haliotis rufescens (red abalone), 491 nucleotides long. RefSeq lists it as uncharacterized. The transcript has 2 exons. The record is from RefSeq and is a predicted model, not a curated record. Lineage: Eukaryota; Metazoa; Mollusca; Gastropoda; Lepetellida; Haliotidae.